This 75-nucleotide transfer RNA is filed under the name Flavobacteriaceae bacterium. Its description in RNAcentral is "tRNA-Glu". It matches the Rfam family "tRNA". Rfam says of the family: Transfer RNA (tRNA) molecules are approximately 80 nucleotides in length. Their secondary structure includes four short double-helical elements and three loops (D, anti-codon, and T loops). Lineage: Bacteria; Pseudomonadati; Bacteroidota; Flavobacteriia; Flavobacteriales; Flavobacteriaceae. The record is from RNAcentral.
CUCCCCGUCGUCUAAUGGCUAAGACACGACACUUUCAAUGUUGGAAUAGGGGUUCGAUUCCCCUCGGGGGGACCA